CUCGCUCAGGGUCCUUCUGUAGUGGUAUCUUUUCAUCUUUGUUGCUGCUAAUUUCAGCAAGAUCGGCAAAGCUUAUUUUCCUGGUGCAAACAAAAAAAGCAAUGAGAAAAUUGGAAGGUAAUAAGAUUUUCACCGAAGGACUUGAGUGCACUUUUGAGCGGUCCAGGCUUUUCUUCUCUGUCAUCAACUCUACUCUUUGUCUUGCUCAAAGAGUUGUUCUGGUCAUAAUCUCUCUCCUUUUUGUCCCGCGAGCUUGAUUCAUCGAGAGAGUGGAUGGCAUAAGCUGCUGCAGCAAUAGCAGUAGGGUAUUCCGAGCUGCUGAAAUCAUACUCCCAACUCAUUUGUCUGGAUAACUGUUUCUUGAUCCACCCUUGGCUUCUCUUCUUCUCUGCGACAAGUCAAAACUUCCCAUUACCGCAUUUCAAAGAAGGAAAAAAGCCUAAAUCAUCAUAUGAUCUUGCACAUACAUAUAUAUAUAUAUACCUCUGAAGGAUUGUGUUUUUUGAGGUCCCAGAUUUCAACAUCUUUACCUUGUUUGCUUAAUCAAGCUUUCCAUUCCUUGAAGAAGGGCUGCUCCAAAAUCUACGUUGUGAAGUAUUGUGAGGUUGUGCUAUUCCCAUGAGGUUUUGAUGCUUAU
Non-coding RNA from Salvia hispanica, 637 nucleotides. The record is from RefSeq and is a predicted model, not a curated record. Lineage: Eukaryota; Viridiplantae; Streptophyta; Magnoliopsida; Lamiales; Lamiaceae.